Molecule: ribosomal RNA, 2544 nt
Filed under: human gut metagenome
Description: bacterial LSU rRNA
Rfam family: Bacterial large subunit ribosomal RNA
Source: RNAcentral
UUAAGCGACUAAGCGUACACGGUGGAUGCCCUGGCAGUCAGAGGCGAUGAAGGACGUGCUAAUCUGCGAUAAGCGUCGGUAAGGUGAUAUGAACCGUUAUAACCGGCGAUUUCCGAAUGGGGAAACCCAGUGUGAUUCGUCACACUAUCAUUAACUGAAUCCAUAGGUUAAUGAGGCGAACCGGGGGAACUGAAACAUCUAAGUACCCCGAGGAAAAGAAAUCAACCGAGAUUCCCCCAGUAGCGGCGAGCGAACGGGGAGCAGCCCAGAGCCUGAAUCAGUGUGUGUGUUAGUGGAAGCGUCUGGAAAGGCGCGCGAUACAGGGUGACAGCCCCGUACACAAAAAUGCACAUGCUGUGAGCUCGAUGAGUAGGGCGGGACACGUGGUAUCCUGUCUGAAUAUGGGGGGACCAUCCUCCAAGGCUAAAUACUCCUGACUGACCGAUAGUGAACCAGUACCGUGAGGGAAAGGCGAAAAGAACCCCGGCGAGGGGAGUGAAAAAGAACCUGAAACCGUGUACGUACAAGCAGUGGGAGCCUCUUAAUGGGGUGACUGCGUACCUUUUGUAUAAUGGGUCAGCGACUUAUAUUCUGUAGCAAGGUUAACCGAAUAGGGGAGCCGAAGGGAAACCGAGUCUUAACUGGGCGUUAAGUUGCAGGGUAUAGACCCGAAACCCGGUGAUCUAGCCAUGGGCAGGUUGAAGGUUGGGUAACACUAACUGGAGGACCGAACCGACUAAUGUUGAAAAAUUAGCGGAUGACUUGUGGCUGGGGGUGAAAGGCCAAUCAAACCGGGAGAUAGCUGGUUCUCCCCGAAAGCUAUUUAGGUAGCGCCUCGUGAAUUCAUCUCCGGGGGUAGAGCACUGUUUCGGCAAGGGGGUCAUCCCGACUUACCAACCCGAUGCAAACUGCGAAUACCGGAGAAUGUUAUCACGGGAGACACACGGCGGGUGCUAACGUCCGUCGUGAAGAGGGAAACAACCCAGACCGCCAGCUAAGGUCCCAAAGUCAUGGUUAAGUGGGAAACGAUGUGGGAAGGCCCAGACAGCCAGGAUGUUGGCUUAGAAGCAGCCAUCAUUUAAAGAAAGCGUAAUAGCUCACUGGUCGAGUCGGCCUGCGCGGAAGAUGUAACGGGGCUAAACCAUGCACCGAAGCUGCGGCAGCGACACUAUGUGUUGUUGGGUAGGGGAGCGUUCUGUAAGCCUGCGAAGGUGUACUGUGAGGUAUGCUGGAGGUAUCAGAAGUGCGAAUGCUGACAUAAGUAACGAUAAAGCGGGUGAAAAGCCCGCUCGCCGGAAGACCAAGGGUUCCUGUCCAACGUUAAUCGGGGCAGGGUGAGUCGGCCCCUAAGGCGAGGCCGAAAGGCGUAGUCGAUGGGAAACAGGUUAAUAUUCCUGUACUUGGUGUUACUGCGAAGGGGGGACGGAGAAGGCUAUGUUGGCCGGGCGACGGUUGUCCCGGUUUAAGCGUGUAGGCUGGUUUUCCAGGCAAAUCCGGAAAAUCAAGGCUGAGGCGUGAUGACGAGGCACUACGGUGCUGAAGCAACAAAUGCCCUGCUUCCAGGAAAAGCCUCUAAGCAUCAGGUAACAUCAAAUCGUACCCCAAACCGACACAGGUGGUCAGGUAGAGAAUACCAAGGCGCUUGAGAGAACUCGGGUGAAGGAACUAGGCAAAAUGGUGCCGUAACUUCGGGAGAAGGCACGCUGAUAUGUAGGUGAAGUCCCUCGCGGAUGGAGCUGAAAUCAGUCGAAGAUACCAGCUGGCUGCAACUGUUUAUUAAAAACACAGCACUGUGCAAACACGAAAGUGGACGUAUACGGUGUGACGCCUGCCCGGUGCCGGAAGGUUAAUUGAUGGGGUUAGCGGUAACGCGAAGCUCUUGAUCGAAGCCCCGGUAAACGGCGGCCGUAACUAUAACGGUCCUAAGGUAGCGAAAUUCCUUGUCGGGUAAGUUCCGACCUGCACGAAUGGCGUAAUGAUGGCCAGGCUGUCUCCACCCGAGACUCAGUGAAAUUGAACUCGCUGUGAAGAUGCAGUGUACCCGCGGCAAGACGGAAAGACCCCGUGAACCUUUACUAUAGCUUGACACUGAACAUUGAGCCUUGAUGUGUAGGAUAGGUGGGAGGCUUUGAAGUGUGGACGCCAGUCUGCAUGGAGCCGACCUUGAAAUACCACCCUUUAAUGUUUGAUGUUCUAACGUUGGCCCCUGAUCGGGGUUGCGGACAGUGUCUGGUGGGUAGUUUGACUGGGGCGGUCUCCUCCUAAAGAGUAACGGAGGAGCACGAAGGUUGGCUAAUCCUGGUCGGACAUCAGGAGGUUAGUGCAAUGGCAUAAGCCAGCUUGACUGCGAGCGUGACGGCGCGAGCAGGUGCGAAAGCAGGUCAUAGUGAUCCGGUGGUUCUGAAUGGAAGGGCCAUCGCUCAACGGAUAAAAGGUACUCCGGGGAUAACAGGCUGAUACCGCCCAAGAGUUCAUAUCGACGGCGGGGUUUGGCACCUCGAUGUCGGCUCAUCACAUCCUGGGGCUGAAGUAGGUCCCAAGGGU